UUUAGAACCAUUUUUUUAGUGGUUUCAACAUUAUAUUAAUUAUCUCGAAUGUCUUUAAAACUCAAUAACAUUCUUCCAGAACGUGGAGAAUAGAGAGCCUCUUUAAUGGUUAAGACAGUACCAUUAUACGACAUUAUACGGGUCUUUCCGUAUCCUUCAAUCAGGUUGGAUGAGCAUGAGAGGGUUGUCAGAGGUGCUUUCUUAGGUACGAAGUUAGUAAAAUAGUGUCGCUCACACAAUAUGGUAUGUGUAGUAGCACUAUUAGCCAGACAACUAACUUCCUCACUAGUUAUACCUAGAAAUAAAUUAAUUGAAUUGGUCACAUGCAUAAAUAUAAUUUCAUUCAUUCAAUUAAUCAAUCGAGAAAUAAUAUCCACAAAAUAAUUAUCCAUAAUUCAAAACAAACCAAAACCAAACAAUUUAUUCCAAAUACUUAGAAAAAUUGUCCAAAAAUUAAACCAUAAACCUAAAAAAUUGGAGGGGUUUCGAUCACUCCUAGUAAGUUCGGCCACUCCUAGUGGGUUCGGCCACUAGGGGUAAAAACACCUUAAAAACAUAUCUAGAAGAAUAAAACUUAUUCGUCCAUAAGAGUUGAUGCCUCUUGAAAAUCGGAUAUCUCCAUGAAUGUAGUAGCAUCUUCGGGAUGUUCCACAUUGCCAAAGUUAGACUCAUAACGGGAAUGAUAGUUGGCAAUAGCCUUAGGGGUAGCUUUGCAUACUCAUGACCAAUGAUCCUUUGAUCCAUAGCGGUAGCACAUGUCCAUUUCAGUGGAAGUCAAUUGAACGGUAGUUUUGCCCUUAUUCUUAAAGUUUGGGGCCUUAGGUGCAAGGGGUUGACGCUUCUGCAUCAAAUUUCCUCCUUUGGGUGAGCAUUGGCUCUGUUGACCUUGGGCCAUUUGGGAAUGAUAGUUGGCAAUAGCCUUAGGGGUAGCUUUGCAUACUCAUGACCAAUGAUCCUUUGAUUCAUAGCGGUAGCACAUGUCCAUUUCAGUGGAAGUCAAUUGAACGGUAGUUUUGCCCUUAUUCUUGAAGUUUGGGGCCUUAGGUGCAAGGGGUUGACGCUUCUGCAUCAAAUUUCCUCCUUUGGGUGAGCCUUGGCUCUGUUGACCUUGGGCCCUUGGGUGGGCUUGUUGUCCAUUACCAUGGCCACAAUGAUGUUUUCAUCGUUUAUGGUUGCUAGAAUUGGUCGCAUGCGCUUCAGGUGCAGCAUUUGAGUCAGGGGGUCGAGCUUGAUGAUUUUUCAUCAAAAGCUGGUUAUACUUUUCAGUGAGAAGUAAAACAAAGAUCAAAUCUAAAAAUUUGGUGAACUUUUGUGCCCUAUAUUAUUGUUGUAGGACAAUAUUGGUGGCAUGGAAGGUCGAAUAGGUAUUCUCCAAGAGAUCUGCAUCUGUUAAGCCCACUUUACAAAACUUAAACAAUGAUCGGAUUAUACAAACUUCAGAGUUGUAUUUCUUCACAAACUUAAAGUCUUGGAAGUGUAGAUGCUGCUAGUCAUGUUUUGCUUCAGGCAAGUAAAUGUCUUUCGGGUGAUCGAAACAAUCGGCCAGAGCAAGCUAGAGGAUGCAUAGGUCCUCCUUAGUGUGAUACUUGGUCUACAGUGCAUCAUUGAUGUGUCUUUAAAUAAAGAUCAUUGCAGUAGCUUUCUAAGCUUCAUCUACGAGAGUGGAGUCGGUAGGUGCCUUGAUGGUGGCUCUAAUACCCUUUACAGUAAGAUGAAGUUUCACAUCUUGAACCCACUUCAAGUAGUUUCAUCCAUAUACGUCCAGAGCGGUGAAAUCGAGCUUGUUCAAGUUUGACAUGUCCCUAAAACGAAAGGUACAACAAAAUGUUGUUAGUCAUAUGGUAAUCCAUAGACAUACAUCGUAGAACAUUCGGGUUCUAUGGACAUGUAUUGGUUUUAUUUUAACAUGAAAGCUACAGGUUUCAUGUGGUAAGUUUUGAAUGAAAACUUCGGGUUUCAAAAGCACUAAAUAUGAAACUACAUGUUCAAUUUAGUUUUAUGACCGAUUAGUUCAUAAAGGAAAGGUUCCUACAAGAACACAUAAUGCAAUAUGCUAAUUUAAGUGUAGUGGAUUUGAGUUGCUUCGGGAACUCAAGUGUGAGAGCUUCAAGACUGCGAAAUGAUGUCAACGGUUCAAAGUAGAAAAAUAAAUUAUUGAAUCGUUAAUGUUCAAAAGUGAUCUUCAGAUUAAUAAUUUUGGAUUAAUUAUCAUAUUAAUAGAUUGCAGGUCACUUUUAAUUUUGGAUUAAUUAUCGAUCGUGGAAGCAAAAUAACGACAGACGAGUCAUGUUAACUUUGGUUGGUGAUAAACCAAGUGAUAAUUAAAUUAGAUUUAAUUAGCGUAAACCAAAGUACCCAAAAAAAAAUUUGGGCAUGAUUUAUACCAAAAAUUGGCAUUGGAUAAAAAAAUAACACGGCCUAGCCAAAAGUGGGCUGGUAAUGAUGCGGGGACAGGCCUUAUAGCUAUUAGGCCUCGAGGAGGGUUGCAGGCCUAUGGGCCGUGUGGUCUGGAUCGAGGCAAGUCAAGCCCUACAACAUAAGAUGCAGGCAAGUAGGCCUAGGGGUGGCGAGGCCUAGGGUUGGUGAAGCCCAGCAAGCAACACGAGCUUGCUACAGGGGGUAUAUGGCACGAGACAAAGCCCAGCAGCAUAAGGUUGCUGGUAGGUUGGGCCGGGGACACAUAGACAGGUCCAAGAAAAGCUGCAUGCCUUCUUAGAAGUUAGGAUGGGCUGCAUGCCCGUGUAACCUUUCCAGGUUGAAGGCCUGGCGUGUCCGUGUAGGCGUAGCAAAGCCCAAAAGGCUGCUGCCAUGG
Molecule: long non-coding RNA, 2812 nt
Filed under: Malus domestica (apple)
Lineage: Eukaryota; Viridiplantae; Streptophyta; Magnoliopsida; Rosales; Rosaceae
Description: long non-coding RNA (MDOM_LNC011533)
Source: RNAcentral